Zeugodacus cucurbitae (melon fly) is the source of this 5060-nucleotide long non-coding RNA. RefSeq lists it as uncharacterized. The transcript has 2 exons. NCBI's taxonomy places the organism in Eukaryota, Metazoa, Arthropoda, Insecta, Diptera, Tephritidae. The record is from RefSeq and is a predicted model, not a curated record.
ACAAAUCGAAAUACUAAUCAACAAAAUAUAAAGUAUUAAUUAUAAAUGUAAAACAACAACUAUAAAUAUAUUAAAUAAAAUUAAAUUUAUUAUUUAAAAAACAAUUAUAAUUAAUUAAUUGUAAAUAAUUAUGAAGUCAAGUGAAACUGUUGCACGGCAUUACAAAUAUAGUAUUAAAAAGCACGUUUCCGUAUAAUUUAGUUGUGAGCUAUAAAAAAUAAAUAAAAUACAAAAAUAUAUAAAUAUAAAGAGAAACACAAACAAAUUUAAACAAAAGUUAGUUGUUAAAAUAUGUGAAAUAUUUAAAUUAUUAAUUUAAAAUUUACUGUAUAAAAACUAUACACCACCACACAUGCUUCCUGCAAUAAUAGUUAGUAAAAAUGAAGUUUGAAAGGCAUAAAUGUUUUGGCAAAUUAUACGAAAAUGUAAAAAUGUUGAAAAAGUAUUCAAAAAUAUAUAAGAAAACAGUAUGAAUAUUGUAAUGUAGUCCACACAAAUGAAGUAUGCAUACAAAGCAAGAAGCUAAAAGUGAGUCUAAUGACGCUACAGAAUUUCCAGAAGAUGAAAUGAAAUUUAUGAUAAAAUAUUUUUUUGAAAACCUGAAUAAUUUCAACUUUUGUGAGACACGAAAUUAGUAAAAAAUUACAGAAUUCUCAGUAAACCAUUCUUAUUUUAUGAAAAUUACGUGAUUUUCCAUUUAUGCGCCUAUAUGUAGGCAACAUCAAAAAAUUUAUCGAAAAACUGUAAAAUUACAAUUAUUGGACUUCAAAAUUUUUUAAAUUUAAUUCUGAAAUUAUUUACAAAUCUCGAAUUAAACGAUUUCCUUAUCAGAGCGCCUAAAGAUAUAACUUUGGCACAAAAAAGUAACGCCUAAAGGUAGGCAACAUAAAAUGUUGAUUAAAUAUUUGACUUCCAAUACUGUUCUGUAAGCAUUGUAGGGUUAUAAGUGACUUCAUAACCACAUUUCAAAUAAAAAGAAAUUAUUGUAUUUCUUCAGUAAACUCCAGUUUUAAAAAUUUAUUUAAAAUAAUAUUCUAGUUAUUAAAUACCUAAUAAACAAUUCCCGAAAAAUUCAAGGCUAUCAAAAAUACCAGAAACCUCAAAAACACUCAUCAAUUACCAAAGCCUUUUCAAAAACGCGUAUUGCAUAUAUGAACUCAUCAAAAAUACUCAACAUUUAUACAAAAAUUAUAAAUGUGUGUGUAUGUACAUAUGUGUGUCACUGUUAAUCACUUGCCAUGUGCGUUUUAUUAUGUAAUACAAAGUGUUUGUCUCAUUAUGCUAAUUAAGCGAAAUUUAUUCUAUGCCACUAUGCAACUUUUAAUAUACAUAUGUAUGUGAAUAAAUAUAUAGUUGUUGUUGUUUUUUAUACUCAUUAUUACCCAAUUAAUUACAUAUAUGUGUUCAAAUUAUGUGCUCGUAGUUAAAUGUAUACUUCUUCGAUUAGUAAGUAGGCAAAUUGGAAAAAGAAUUUUUAGUUUUUUGAACUAAACUAAUAUUAAAAUGUAUAUCUCUGUGUAUGUAUAUACGUUAUUCAUAUUAUAAUUUAACGAAAUUACAAAAACAAAUAUGCUAUUCAUACUAAAAAUCAUGCAUUAGCAAAGUAUAUAUACUAAAUAUGCAUGCGAAUUCCCUUUCCGGCAAAUACCCGCCCAUUUAAUUCAGUGAAAGACAAAAACAAAUGAGAGCAUUUGGAAAACCCCCAAGAGAACGUCAAUACUAAUAAGAAUUUAGUAUAAAUAAAGGUGUUGAAAGAUAUUCAUAAAGUGUUAUCUAAACAAAUUUAUAUAUAAAACCCUAAAAUAUUCGUACAAAAAAUUAAAAAAUUAUAUAAUAACUGUAAGCUCACUUUUACGAAGAGAUCGGUCAGUCUUAUAUGUUCAUACUACACUUUUUAUUGUAAAAACUAUUUAAAGCACACUUUUAGGCACAUUUUUGCACAUUUUAUACUCAAUUAUCUGGUAGACAAGUUUAUUUCUAAUUUUAAGAAAUUUAAAGAAAUAUAAUUUUUUUAUUUUUAAAUUAAUAUACAUAUUAUAAGUUGUAUUUCCUGGAGGGAUAAGUAUUUGCACAAUUUUUAAUACAAAUUAAGCACAUUUUUAAGCACUUCUAUUUUUAUGCAAAUAUUUGUCUAGUAUUUAUUGGCUUUCGAGUCUUAAGAUGGCGCCUAAACGUAUACUAUAAAAUAUGAUUUUUUAUUCACCUUGCAAAAAAAGCACAGUUUUGGGCGUUCUGUCAUGCACAACAUAUUUAUUUGUAAUUUAUAUAAUACGUACUACUAUUGUAAAUGUCUAAUUCUACAGAAAUAAUAUUAUUAUUUGUUAUUGACACUUAUCUAUAUAAAUGUUUAUUUUAUUGACAAGUAAAGCGCACAGUCCUUUAAGGCAUACUAUUAGGAGCACAUCUGCACAAAUGGCACUAACGAAAAUUUAUUUAGAAGCACUUUCUAUUAUAUAAGCACCUAGCACAAUUUUAGCUUUUGCACCUAAGCACAAUACUUGAGACAUACUAUUAGGCGCACAUCUGCACAAAAGGCACUCACGAGCGCACAGCGCUCAAUUUUCGGCACCAAAUAGCACUAACGAAUGCACCAAGCACAGCUUUAGGCACCAAAAUUGCACCUAAGCACUCUUUUAAAGGUAUACUAAUGCAUUUAAUUCCCCUUUCUGAGGCAUACUUUUAGGAGCACAAAUUGCAAUUAUGAAAGUACAGUUAAAAUUUUGCACCAACACACUAUUUUCACACUAUUGCACCAAAUGGCACUAACGAAUGCACAAAGCACAGCUUAAGGCACCUUUCCGAGGCAUACUUUUUGGAGCACAAAUUGCACUAAUAAAAGCACAGAGAAAUUUUGCACCAAAGCACUAUUUUCGAGAUAUAGAGAUAUACUAUUAAGCGCACAUUUGCACAUCAGCACUCACGAGCGCAUAGAGCACAGUUUUAUGCACCAUAAUUGCACCAAAUGGCACUAACGAAUGCACAAAGCACAGCUUUAGGCACCAAAAUUGCACCUAAGCUCCUUAUCGAGGCGCACAACUGCACAAAGGGCACUAAUUAAAGCACAUAGUAAGGUUUACACAUCAAAGCACAAUUUUAGGCACCAAAUCAUGCAUUUAAUUACCAUUUCUGAGGCAUACUUUUAGGAGCACAAAUCGCACUAAUAAAAGCACCGAGAAAUUUUGCACCAAAGCACUAUUUUCGAGAUAUAUUAUUAGGCGCACAUCUGCCCAAAUGACACUGACGAGCGCACAGAGCAUAGUUUUAUGCGCCACAAUUGCACCAAAUGGCACUAACGAAUACACAAAGCACAGCUUUAGGCACCAAAAUUGCACCUAAGCACCUUAUCGAGGCGCACAACUGCACCAAGGGCACUAAUUAAAGCACAUAGUAAGGUUUACACAUUAAAGCACAAUUUUAGGCACCAAAUCAUGCAUUUAAUUACCAUUUCUGAGGCAUACUUUUAGGAGCACGUCUGCACAAAUUGCACUAAUGAACGCACGGAAAACAAUUUGCACCUAAGCACUAUUUAUAUUAGGCGUACAUCUGCACCAAAUGGCACCAACGAGCGCACAGAGCAAAGUUUUAGGCACGGAUUUUUGCACCUUAGCACUCUUUUCAAGGUAUACCAAUGUAUUUAAUUACCCUUUCUGAGGCAUACUUUAAGAAGCAUAAUUUGCACUUUGAAAGCACAGAGAAAAUUUUGCACCUAAGCACUCUAUUCGAAAUAUAAUAUUAGGCGCACAUCUUCAGCACAGUUAUAUGCACCAAAUAGCACUAACUAAGGCACAAAGCACAGUUCAAUGCACCGAAUAAUGCAUUUAAUUACCUUUUUUGAGAUACACAUCUGCACAAAAUGCACUAAUGAAAGCACUUUUCAAAUUUUUAACCUAAGCACUAUUUUCGAGAUAUACUAUUAGGCGCACAACGGCACUCACAAACGUACAUAGCACAGUUUUAGGCACUAAAUUUGCACCUAAGCACAUCUGCUAAUCAGAAGGGAAGGGGCCCUGAUUAAAUUUCAGAAUUACUAAGCACAGAGCACAAAGCACCCUGCACAAUAUAUUUAUUGGUCUCUGUUCUUGUGUAUAUGUAUAACUUUAGGCGCUGCAACCUGUCUUGACAUUUUUUGCCAGCGCAAAUUAUAUUUUGAGUUACAUUCUUUAGUUUUAUAAUUUUUCUCAAAAUAUAUAUUACUUUCCAUAUCUUAAGAACACUGCACACAUUCAAGCACACUUUUAGGCACUAUUCUAAAUAAUUAUAUCGGCACAUGCACUUAAAAAAAAUAUUUUUGAAGCACCCUUACUAUCGCACCACACAUUAUUGGCACAAGAUGUACGCACUCAAGCACUUAGUCUGCUCACAAACCACUAAGGCUGGGUACAUAGCGAAAACACAGAGCAAAGGACAAAGCAUUGUUAAAUAAAAAAAAAUGAGUUAUAAGAAAAAUUCUGUAAAAACUGGUAAGAUUUGACGAAACUCAAUACUUUUGAGUUUUCUUUUUAAUCUUUCAAUAUCUGUUUUGCUUGUAGUUUCACUAUGUGCUCGGCCUAAUGCACAGUAUAUAAGCAUUUAGAGCACUCAAAUAAUAUUUUAAUUUAAUUUAUUUAUUUUUAAAUAUUAUGUUUUAUUUUUUUCUGUACCUUAGCUGCUGAUCUCAUUGUAAAAGUGAUUGCGAAAAACUACUUAAAAAUAUUAAAAAUCUCAAAAUCAUCAAUUCAUAUGUAUCCAAAAAUAAAUUAAAAAUAUUUAGAGUAUUAAAUUAAAAAAUCUGUAACAAAUAAUCGACUGAACACUCUAAUUAAUUAUAGUAUAAUGUUAAAUAAAUAUCUUAGCUAAAAUUAAUAUGAAUAAUAAUAAUUAUAUGCAGCUUAAAAAUUAUAAAUUAUUUGAAGUUAAAAAAAUUAAAUAUUAAAAAAUUCAUACAAAAACAAAUAAUCUCGACUUAUGCCAUUUUAAAAUUCAUAUUAAAAGGGGAAAUUACGAAAGGAUUAAUCAGAUAAUUACAUACAUAAAAGUUCAUCAAGCUCAACAAAAUUAUGCAAUAUUAACAAAAUUAAUAA